UUCUCUACGGUGACAUGAUUGUGUCCUGGGAUGGCUCCCACUCGUAUCGCUAUGAAAACAGAAGUUUCAUAAACCAGAGAUGAGUUACUUCAACUCAGUUUAAUUCAAUAAACAGUUAUUGAACAUUUACUGUGUCCAGGAUACCAUUGGCCAUGGUGAAUGAUACAUGAUCCCUCCUAUCAAGAAAUUUGCAAUCUAGUAUGGGAGAAACUAUGCAAAUAAAUGUCCAACCAUAAGAUGACUGCUACGGUAUAGUAACAAGCAAAGAUUUAGGAACUCAGUAGGUAAACAACCACCACCUGUUCACCCCCUCUCCUCCAAAAGAGGAAAAAAAGAAUUUUUCCUUUGAUGACAGCAACACAUGACCCAGGAAGGUUGUGACAGAAAUAAAGUUUACAGAAGUCGUGUUCCUGCGAUAAGAAAUAAAGAUGUGACCUUCCAGUUGUGUAAAGCUCUUAAAUGCUGUGUAAGUGCGUCGGGUGCGCUAAGGACCCUGGAGCUAAAUGGGCUAGUUCUGAGAGAGAGAGACUUAACUAUGUUAACAAGGGAUUGAAUAAAUUGGCCACUUUAUCAGCACCUCAUGCCUGUCACAUUAAUGGCUGAACUAGAAAAUCAGAAGGAUCAGCACAGAAGUGCUUCUCAAUGGGGGUGAUUUUGUCCCCUCGGGGAUAUUUGGCAAUAUCUGGAGACACUUUUGGUUGUCACAAGUAGCUGAUGUGUUACUGGCAUCUAGUAGCUGCCAAGCAGUAACAGCUGUCUUUGUACUGAAUCCCGGAAGUGUCUCUGUAUCCUGGAAGUAUUGCAAUGAUCGUCUUCACACCUGCGAAAUAUUCCUGCACCGUGUACGCCAAUGAUUAUGGCUCCGCUCUCGGGCCUCACCUGGGAGCUACUGCAUGUGAGGAUCAAAUUGAUACACAUUAGGGCAUCCUCAGCGGUCUUUGGCAAAGGCCUAUAGAUUACCUCGCUAUCCAAUUUGUUAACUGGACAGCAGAGCCUGAGUGGAAAGAACAAUGCGCUCGUCAGUUGGGAGAAGCUCCUCCAGGUAUCAACAGAUACAAGCAAGGCAAUCUCACUGUGCAGGUUGAUUAGAACUGGGUUUGUAUUUUGGACAAUAAACUCUACUUACGAUAGUCUCCCAGUCAUUAAGUAUCUCUGCUGUAAGAGAAAACUGGGGCUAUUAACUUCUCCAGAUAGAACCCGAGGGAAAAGUGAUCAUUUCUUUUCUAAGCAGAAGGGAAGGUUCUGCUCAAUAAAGAUCAAUUAAACAUCUCUGUUAAAAGACUGCUUGGAGCUGGUGCCAAAGGAAAUUCCACUGUAUUAACCCGUGCUCCCUCCAACCCUCCCCACCUCUGUAGCUUGCGCUGGGGAAAAUUGUAAGAGGACGCUGGCUAUUGUAAGCUUUAUAAGGUGACAGUAGCUCUCACAUCCGUGGCUGAAUGAUCUUUGAUGUUGAGUGACUUUUCCUGCAUUUAGCAGGGGUAUUCCCAGAGGAUGGCAGGCAAAUCAAACGCUCCUCUGAAUUCAGCUGCUAGCAUCAAUCAUCCUCAUGAGGGAGUAAAAAAAAGAAUAUAACAAUAGGUACCGGGAAAAAUGAUAUGGUGGUCUGAGCUAGUAAUUCCCAGGAUGCAGGAAGAGUUUUGGGGGCCCUAGAAAAUCCACUGCAUAAAGAAAACCCGCCACAAUCUCCACCAGCAUCUUAUAGUUACCACCUCAUUCUUGUCCUUUAAAAUACAGUGUGCUUGUCCUUUAAAAUACAGUGUGUCUUGUACAUUAAAAUACAGUGUGCUUCUACUCUCUGGCUGAGACUGCAUCCUCUCAUGUAAAUUCCAUCUGUUCUUGCUUGAGGGAGGGCAGACACAACCUUGACUUUAUCCUCUUGAUGAGAGUGAUGUUUCAUGGUGUUGGGAGGAUUUUCAUUGGGUCAAUUGCCUGAUUGAGACAUAGCCUUAGUGAGGUGACAAAUAGCAGGCAUUAAUGUCUCUUUUUUAAUGGUAUGAUGAAUGGUCUAAGAGAAGGGUCAGCAAACUGUAGCCAGCCGCCUGUUUUUGUAAAUAAAUUAUUGGACCACAGCCAGACCAGUUCAUUCAUGAAUUUUGUCUGGCUCCUUUUGCGUCGAGUAGUUGUGACAGAGACCUAACGGCCCACAAAGCCAAAGAUACUCCCUGGCCCCGGCCACCCCUGAUCUAAGACCGUUCCCACAGUCCUCUGAUGAUAAGAAUCACCUGGAUCAUUUGUUCAAAAGACAAUUUCUGGGUCCAGCUUGGAACCCCUGAGUCAGAAUCUCCAGGGAAGGGGCUUUGGGAAGGUAGAGUGAACAAGCUUCCCGGGUGAUUCUUAUCCCCAGGGAACUACUGGUCUCAGGUGUGCCUGCCUAGCAGGUAAGGAGGAGGUUUUCAAAGAGGCAGUGGGGGUGGGGGGUUGGGCGGAGUUUGCCUUGGAGAGCACAGGCCUCGCGGUUUCACUGCUGGGACUGCAUCCCAGCUCCGCUUCUCCCCGAGCUUCGCCACCUCAGGUAAGUUCCUUUUCACACUGUUUCCUCCGCUGAGAAGUGAGGGUCAUGGUGCCCGGUUGGCAGUGUGUGUAUAUACGCUGAGAGCCUAAUCCAAGGCUCGGUAGUGGUCACCCUCACUAAGAGGAGCAGCGCCAUGUAAACACAGAAGACCCCGCUGUGGAAACAUCUCAUAAAUAAGACAGGCCCAGCGGGGCUUUUCAGUAGUCCACGGUGUACAGCUGUUUUCCUCAGAAGGAAAAACUCCCUUAAAGGAAUCUCCCAUUACGUUCAGGACCGUAUACGGCCCUUUAGAAACUCAAUUCUCCACAGCAUGCUGAGUAUUGCAAGAGGUUAUCAUUGGCUGUUUUAGGAUAUAGCUGAGUUUGCAAAGGAAUAUUUAAUUUCAUGAUUGAAAACUCUGGUACUUAGCACGAGACAGACAUAUAUAUAUAUUCUGUUUCUGAGGUUAAUGUUUUUAAAAACUCUUUGCCUGACGAGAUCAAGCAAUUUCAGCCAUUCGUGUAGCUGUUGAAAGGCAGUUUUUAGAUGAAUUGCCCAUAAAUCCUUGCAAGAUACAGGACCCAAUAAUACUUCAGGUUACCAGGGAGUUUCAUAUUUUACUAAAAGGGGGAAAAAGUCAAUCUUGAAUCUUUUAGUCCGAUGACCAAAGAAUUGCUCCAUUGAUUUUGUUCAGCUACUCAGGUGGGUGUGCAGUUGAUCCUGAUUGGAUCUUAUUUAAAGUUUACUUUUUCUGGGAAGUAUUAAUUCGAAUGUAGUAUGGGUAAUACUGGAAUACUAGAGCCUCUUUAAAGCCACUUUACACAGCUUGUGUAAACAUCCUAGGGUAGUUUCCUCUUAACAUUUUCACAAAUACAGAACUUGAGUUUGCUGUAUGUUUUCCUCUUUUUAACAGAAGAGGGAGGUAAAGGCUUGGCUAAACAAUGUACUUAAAACCCAGGCUAGAGGGAAAUGGAUUCAUAUUCUUAGAGGAACAGGUAAACAAGAACAGCAUGAAUUCUGCCAAGUAUGAUUUAGGUUUGUGAAGGAAGGAAAAAAAGCACACUUGGCAAAUGAGUGUGGUUUGCUGAUUUCUUUAUUUUUAAACUUAGUUUUAAACGAAAGUACCAGUGAGACCCGAGAAAAACGAAUCUGCAGAGGGCAGGAGGAGGGGUA
Balaenoptera acutorostrata (minke whale) is the source of this 3664-nucleotide long non-coding RNA. RefSeq lists it as uncharacterized. The record is from RefSeq and is a predicted model, not a curated record. The transcript has 7 exons. Lineage: Eukaryota; Metazoa; Chordata; Mammalia; Artiodactyla; Balaenopteridae.